Schistocerca americana (American grasshopper) is the source of this 445-nucleotide long non-coding RNA. RefSeq lists it as uncharacterized. The transcript is spliced from 3 exons. The record is from RefSeq and is a predicted model, not a curated record. Lineage: Eukaryota; Metazoa; Arthropoda; Insecta; Orthoptera; Acrididae.
GCUUAUCCUCAUAAAACCAGUUCAGCUACUUUUAACAUUUACCACUCACCGAUUUCUUGUAUGAAAGUGGAACAAAUUAAAUCAUUUCCCUCGUCGCGUGAAGGUUCUGUGCUGCUAUCUACAUGUUACCGAGUGAACCGAACAUGCAUAUCCCUUCGCUCAGAUCUCUGGAAUACACUGCAUGUGGUACUGUGUAGCAGUUCCUAUUCGAAGCGCGCUGUUUGAAUCAACUUCGUAACAAAUUUGGAAGGUCAUUGUACCAGCUCAUAUAUUCAGAGUAAAUUGAGCCACAUAUCAGGAUCUGGAAGAACAUCAAGAGAUUCUAGACAAUGAAAAUUCUCAAAAGACCCAGGGAGCAGGUCCUCAGAGGAGAAAAAGCAGAGAAGAGUAGUGUGUUCUUGGCAUUUUACAAUGCUCUGUAAAUUCACUUUACAGAAUAAACCAA